CAGCAGCCGCGGGAAUACGAAGGGGGCUAGCGUUGUUCGGAAUUACUGGGCGUAAAGCGCACGUAGGCGGAUAUUUAAGUCAGGGGUGAAAUCCCAGAGCUCAACUCUGGAACUGCCUUUGAUACUGUCGAUCUGGAGUAUGGAAGAGGUGAGUGGAAUUCCGAGUGUAGAGGUGAAAUUCGUAGAUAUUCGGAGGAACACCAGUGGCGAAGGCGGCUCACUGGUCCAUUACUGACGCUGAGGUGCGAAAGCGUGGGGAGCAAACAGGAUUAGAUACCCCUGUAGUCCCUGUCUCUUAUAU
RNAcentral lists this ribosomal RNA (301 nucleotides) under uncultured bacterium. Its description in RNAcentral is "partial 16S ribosomal RNA". It matches the Rfam family "Bacterial small subunit ribosomal RNA", at positions 509 to 809 of the family's 1533-position model. The record is from RNAcentral.